This 86-nucleotide ribosomal RNA is filed under the name Vibrio splendidus. Lineage: Bacteria; Pseudomonadati; Pseudomonadota; Gammaproteobacteria; Vibrionales; Vibrionaceae. The record is from RNAcentral.
GAUUCCAUGCCGAACUCAGAAGUGAAACACAAUAGCGCCGAUGGUAGUGUGGGGUUUCCCCAUGUGAGAGUAGGACAUCGCCAGGC